ACCUGUAUUUCCUAUGUCUUAAACUACCUUCUUAGACCAAACUUCCUGCUGGAAAUGAUUAGUAACAUUAACAACUCUUGCUAAGAGAGAUCAGCACUAUUCAUCUGUGUGGAGCUACUGGAACUUUAAUAGGCUAUUCGGAAGCCUCUGACUACAGGUUGAACCUAUCUAGUCCAGCACCCUUGGGAUCUGAUCAGUGCUGAACCAGAGAAUUUGCCAAACAACGGGAGUUACUAAAGCUACAGUUGAGCAUUCUUUUCCUCAUUGAAUGGAAUUUUAUUUUCUAAAAGAAGUUGCCUUCCACCUGAUCAUGAGCAUAUCAUGAAGGACUGGAAGUAACCACACAAGAAGACCCCAAAGAGUUGUGCAAUACUAUAAGAAGAAACCAAGAAGAAUGUAGAUGGAGUGCUUCAUAAAGGCUUGAGUAGCCAACUUUAAUUUCUGUAAUGAUUUUGAAACAUGAGUUAAAUCUAAUAAAACUGUUCUGGAACAUUUUUCCGGUUUUACUAUGGUGCCAUACAGCCCACCUUCACCCUCACAGUCUCAGCCCUCAUUCCCGUACCCCCUCUCAUAUAUUCAAGCACACCAAUUUCAAUUCCUGGGAAAACACUGUCCCCUGGCUGAAGACAGCUCCCAGCAAGCAUCAGUGCAAAAGAAAAGGUGGCAAACCUCAUCUAUUGACAUCUCAACCUGGGACAAUUCUUCAAA
This is a non-coding RNA of Pelodiscus sinensis (Chinese soft-shelled turtle), 708 nucleotides long. Lineage: Eukaryota; Metazoa; Chordata; Testudines; Trionychidae. The record is from RefSeq and is a predicted model, not a curated record.